This 451-nucleotide ribosomal RNA is filed under the name Neisseria arctica. RNAcentral describes it as "bacterial SSU rRNA". It matches the Rfam family "Bacterial small subunit ribosomal RNA", at positions 21 to 468 of the family's 1533-position model. Lineage: Bacteria; Pseudomonadati; Pseudomonadota; Betaproteobacteria; Neisseriales; Neisseriaceae. The record is from RNAcentral.
GGCUCAGAUUGAACGCUGGCGGCAUGCUUUACACAUGCAAGUCGAACGGCAGCACGAAAGAGCUUGCUCUUUUGGUGGCGAGUGGCGAACGGGUGAGUAAUACAUUGGAACGUACCGAGUAAUGGGGGAUAACUGUCCGAAAGGAUGGCUAAUACCGCAUACGCUCUGAGGAGGAAAGCGGGGGACCUUCGGGCCUCGCGUUAUUCGAGCGGCCAAUGUCUGAUUAGCUAGUUGGUGGGGUAAAGGCCUACCAAGGCGACGAUCAGUAGUGGGUCUGAGAGGAUGAUCCGCCACACUGGGACUGAGACACGGCCCAGACUCCUACGGGAGGCAGCAGUGGGGAAUUUUGGACAAUGGGCGAAAGCCUGAUCCAGCCAUGCCGCGUGUCUGAAGAAGGCCUUCGGGUUGUAAAGGACUUUUGUCAGGGAAGAAAGGGUUUGGGUUAAUACCC